Long non-coding RNA from Ruditapes philippinarum (Manila clam), 384 nucleotides. RefSeq lists it as uncharacterized. The transcript is spliced from 2 exons. Lineage: Eukaryota; Metazoa; Mollusca; Bivalvia; Venerida; Veneridae. The record is from RefSeq and is a predicted model, not a curated record.
CGUUAGGGCCAUCGUAGUUAUACUUUAUAAUCCAGAGGGCAACAAUAAGACAGUGCGAUAGAACAACGACGACAAUACAACAGUGCGAUGACGACAAUGCGAUAGUGCGAUGGCGACAAUGCGAUGGCGACAGUGCGACAAUGCGAUAGUGUGAUGCCGAUAAUGCGAUGCCGACAGUGCGAUAAUGCAAUGGCGACAAUACGAUAGUGCGAUGCGAUGUCAGGAUAUACAGGAAAAUACAUACAGAUAUACAGUACGAUUGCGAUAGCAACGAUCAGAAAAUACCACAGAGCUUGCAGCCCUUUGAUUAUUACUUGGGGACAAUACUCCGCCUUUCAUGGAAUGGCACUUCUGUGUCACAUUGAAGGUUCCAUGAUACCCGCG